This 601-nucleotide ribosomal RNA is filed under the name bacterium. RNAcentral's name for it is "bacterial SSU rRNA". It matches the Rfam family "Bacterial small subunit ribosomal RNA", at positions 86 to 698 of the family's 1533-position model. The record is from RNAcentral.
GGUACUCGAGUGGCGAACGGGUGAGUAACACGUGGGUGAUCUGCCCUGCACUUUGGGAUAAGCUUGGGAAACUGGGUCUAAUACCGAAUAUGACCACUUCUUGGAUGUUGUGGUGGAAAGCUUUUGCGGUGUGGGAUGAGCCUGCGGCCUAUCAGCUUGUUGGUGGGGUAAUGGCCUACCAAGGCGGCGACGGGUAUCCGGCCUGAGAGGGUGUACGGACACAUUGGGACUGAGAUACGGCCCAGACUCCUACGGGAGGCAGCAGUGGGGAAUAUUGCACAAUGGGCGCAAGCCUGAUGCAGCGACGCCGCGUGGGGGAUGAAGGCCUUCGGGUUGUAAACUCCUUUCGCUAUCGACGAAGCCACUUGUGGUGACGGUAGGUAGAUAAGAAGCACCGGCUAACUACGUGCCAGCAGCCGCGGUAAUACGUAGGGUGCAAGCGUUGUCCGGAAUUACUGGGCGUAAAGAGCUCGUAGGUGGUUUGUCGCGUCGUCUGUGAAAUCCCGGGGCUUAACUUCGGGCGUGCAGGCGAUACGGGCAUAACUUGAGUGCUGUAGGGGAGACUGGAAUUCCUGGUGUAGCGGUGAAAUGCGCAGAUAUC